Molecule: ribosomal RNA, 444 nt
Filed under: fungal sp.
Lineage: Eukaryota; Fungi
Description: SSU rRNA
Rfam family: Eukaryotic small subunit ribosomal RNA
Source: RNAcentral
UUGUAAGUUUCGGGGUUAGUUGGUUGGUCAUGCCUCUGGUAUGUACUGGUCUCACUGAUUCCUCCUUCCUGAUGAGCCGUAAUGCCAUUAAUUUGGUGUUGGCGGGGAAUUUGGACUGUUACUUGAAGAAAUUAGAUUGUUUAAAGCAAGCUAACGCUUGAAUACAUUAGCAUGGAAUAAUGAAAUAGGACGUUCGAUCCUAUUUUGUUGGUUUCUAGGAUUGACGUAAUGAUUAAUAGGGAUAGUUGGGGGCAUUAGUAUUCAAUUGUCAGAGGUGAAAUUCUUGGAUUUAUUGAAGACUAACUACUGAGAAAGCAUUUGCCAAGGAUGUUUUCAUUAAUCAAGAACGAAAGUUAGGGGAUCGAAGACGAUCAGAUACCGUCGUAGUCUUAACCAUAAACUAUGCCGACUAGGGAUCGGAUGAUGUUUAAUUUUUAAUGACUC